This 121-nucleotide microRNA precursor is filed under the name Marmota monax (woodchuck). Lineage: Eukaryota; Metazoa; Chordata; Mammalia; Rodentia; Sciuridae. The record is from RNAcentral.
UCCAAGAAAACUAUUCUCUCUCUCUCUCUCUCUCUCUCUCUCUCUCUCUCUCUCUCUGUGUGUGUGUGUGUGAGAGAGAGAGAGAGAGAGAGAGAGAGAGUUUGUGGAGUUCACACAUUAG